CUUCUUGUGGUGUAGCGGUAUAUCACACGAGCUGUAGAAGCUUGAAAUGUCGGUUCGACUCCGUCCGAGAAGU
This is a non-coding RNA of Tritrichomonas musculus, 73 nucleotides long. Lineage: Eukaryota; Parabasalia; Tritrichomonadida; Tritrichomonadidae. The record is from the annotation of a GenBank genome assembly.